RNAcentral lists this non-coding RNA (28 nucleotides) under Homo sapiens (human). Lineage: Eukaryota; Metazoa; Chordata; Mammalia; Primates; Hominidae. The record is from RNAcentral.
UAACACAAGACCAAAGUCUGACCAGAGC